AAAUUGAAGAGUUUGAUCAUGGCUCAGAUUGAACGCUGGCGGCAGGCCUAACACAUGCAAGUCGAGCGGUAACAGAAAGAAGCUUGCUUCUUUGCUGACGAGCGGCGGA
Molecule: ribosomal RNA, 109 nt
Filed under: Vibrio sediminis
Lineage: Bacteria; Pseudomonadati; Pseudomonadota; Gammaproteobacteria; Vibrionales; Vibrionaceae
Description: Vibrio sp. HA2012 Bacterial small subunit ribosomal RNA
Rfam family: Bacterial small subunit ribosomal RNA
Source: Rfam by way of RNAcentral